GCCUCACUAUUUCUGCAUAGUAAGCUUUCUCAACAACCGGAAACGUCGUUUGAAAAGUAAAAUACUUGUGCAAUAGAAGAUUUUUUGUAAAAUUUUUCUGUGGCUGAAAAUAAUAGAAUGACUGAUAUAUUUAAUUAAAAAAUCUCAAUGACUCUUGUAAACAAAUACGUUGAAGUACUACCGGCUGGUAAUAUUAAUUGCUCAUUCAAUUAUCUUCAACUAAAGAAAAAGUUUACAAAAAUAUCUAUCGCACACGCACUUUACUUUUGAAAUGAUGUUUCCGGUUAUUGAGACACCUUAGCGUACAUAGAUAAAAGGGGAUGAAGUUCAUUUUAGAUAACUAAUCGAAUAUUAAUCAAAUAUGUGCACUCAUAUAGAUAAGAGUUGAAAACUUCAGGUUGCACAGUGGUUUGAUGCGCUUUCAGAAUGCAAUUUCUAGUGAUACUGUUAGGACUUGUAUGUGCCUUGGCCCAUGGGGCACCAAACGUAGAAAAGGUGAAUUCACCCCGUCCAUCUUUCUCAAAAGAUAAAGAAUUCAUACCAUCUGGCAAUAGCAGGAUAACAAACAGUGACCAAUUCCCUUACCAGAUUUAUUUCUAUAAAGUGGGGUAACAAUCAAUCGCUCAUCCAUCUCUGAGGUGGUAGUCUCAUUUCAGAAUCGGUGGUACUCACGGCUGCCCAUUGUAUCUAUGACUACGGUACAAAUAUCAUUGCUGCUGACGUCCUUAAUCGGGGCGAAAAUACUUCAACUUCUCAAAGACGAAGUGUUGAAACCAUUGUAAUUCACGAAAACUGGCCUGGGUACUUAAUAAAUUACGAUCUUUAUCGAUGGUGCUUCGUACAAUUUCAGCUCCAUUUGACAUUGCCCUAAUAAAGUUAGUCUCACCCUUCAUCUUGACCUCCUCCGUUCGGGUUGUUGAACUUCCUGCCCAAGGUGUCAUUCCUUCUGGUCUGGCGUUACUGGGCAAACAGGAAGGGGAUCAGUUUUGUCGUAGAGAUUCUGGUAGCCUCUUGGUUCAAGGGUAUGUCCAAGUGGGUCUGGUUUCUUGGGGCAUCCCGCCAUGUAGCACCACUUACGCUCUAUCUGUCUACACAAGAAUUUCUAGCUAUUCUGACUGGAUUAACAACAGACUUGCAGAGUUAAGGUCUGCUCCUUCGACUGUCUAAAUACAUAAAUAUGUACCCAAAAUGAAAUACCGAAUAAAAUUACUUACAAAUAAG
Molecule: long non-coding RNA, 1221 nt
Organism: Agrilus planipennis (emerald ash borer)
Lineage: Eukaryota; Metazoa; Arthropoda; Insecta; Coleoptera; Buprestidae
Exons: 2
Source: RefSeq, a predicted model, not a curated record